Molecule: long non-coding RNA, 2043 nt
Filed under: Nicotiana tabacum (common tobacco)
Lineage: Eukaryota; Viridiplantae; Streptophyta; Magnoliopsida; Solanales; Solanaceae
Description: long non-coding RNA (NTAB_LNC016398)
Source: RNAcentral
UAAAAAAUAAAGCAAGUAGGGCCCAGUUAUGUUUUUCUUUCACAUUUUAUUUUUAAGAAAAGACCAAAAAAUGAAAAUGGAAAAAUCCAAAAAGAUUUUGCACUUCCCCAUUAUUUUGUUCAAAAAAAAAAUCAGAAAAAGAAAAUCCAAAAGGGUUUACAUGUUUCAUCAUUUUUCAAAAACAAAAGACAAAAAAUAUGUUUUCUCUAAAUUAGUUGUGUUUUUUUUAAUUCUCGCCCGUAUCCAAUUUGCCUGAACUAUGCAUACCUGAUUCUCGUCUUUUGGGGCGUGAUACGUAGGCAACCCGCAUAGGGUCUGGUCUUCCUAGUAAAUCUUAGGUUCUUGGCUUUGCGGGAUCUUAGCCAAAUUCAGGAGUUGCUUGUUGGGAAUAGUGUGAACUGAGUUGUAUUGUUGGACUCUACUGUUGAAAUAUUUAGAGUUCAAGUUGAAAUUCUCUUGUCAAACUGCUUAUAUGCUGAUGAAUGUUCUGUUGGGAUCAGUCCUUGAUUGUGGGAGCAUUGUUUUGUGAUUUUAAUUCAAUCUAUGAGCUAUUUAUGGGGCCAUGUUUGAAAGUAAAUCCUGCAUUGAAGUUUUUAGAGUAAAUUGAUAGCUGAAAUUCCCCUAGUUUGAACUUGUUACCAACAGUUUCAAAUAGUUGUUGUUGUCAUUGAGUUUAAUUGAGGGGAUUCAGUUGGACUAGAGAUUGAGUAGCUUGAAUUAUGAUUUGGUUGAGCAUAUAGUAAGCUAAGUCUGCCGAAAAUUUGUGUUAGUUGAGAUUGUGCUUGAGUUCAGCAGUGAUAGUUGAAAUCUGGUUUUUACUUCUAAAAUAUUCUCCUUGUUGAAUUGAGUGCUCUUGUUCCAUAAACUAUUGUCCAGUUGGUUAGAAUCUGCUGAUAGAAGUUGAAGGUUUGCUGCUAGUUUCCUGUUGCUGUAAAAGAUUUUGUGCUUGCUGCCCGCAGUCCUGUAUUGUUCAGUUUCUGUUCAAUAGUGAAGAUGUUCGUUUUUUGGGGGGAUUGAUGUUACGACAGUUUUUCUGAACAGUUGAGGGAGUUUUGCACAAGUUUUAGCUUCAGUUAACUCAACUGCAUUGCUCCAGGUUAUAUGCCAACAAUACACUACUGAAAUUCAAGUUUUGAGUAUCUUUUUGAAAGCAAAUUCUGCAUUGUUCAGCUGCACUUUGUCUGCACUAUUUGGUUAUUCUGGUUGAAGCUGCUGACUACUUACUUGAUUCUCCUUGCCGGAAGCAGAAGAACAUGCUAAGACUUGGGUCGUGGGGUAAGGAAACCUUCUGUUAUUGAGAGAUCCCUCAAGUUGCACUUUGAAUAUGCUUGUAAUAAAUAGAAGUAAUAUAACAGUGCUUUGUUCUCCAAGGCUUCAAGGUGUGACCAUGUUGGAUACAAUCUGAAAGUUGUGUUCCAAUCCACGUGAUCUUCUGGCUUGUACACGCUAAUCCACCAGACAACUUGCUUAACCCACAUGCAUUAGUCUACAAUUUCAUCGAUGCCUUGUUGGCAGCCAAUGUUCUCAUGCCUGUAUUUACUCUUGGAAUAGCUCUAUUUUAUAUCCCCUAGCGAUUGUUGUGAUAACUCCAGCGGCUCAAGGGAGGAGGGGGUAUGCGGACAAAAUAUUGCCUGAAGUAUUAGGAACUUUGUUUGUUACUUGAUAGAUAUUGGGAUGAAUUUGUCCAAAAAAAUUCCUAUUUAUUUUUCAGCAGAUGCAGUUUGGCUAAACGAUGAGGACACAUCGAUAACACAGCUAAAACACCAGCAGAAUCCAUGUUUGAUGAGAGCCCUGCUAGAUUUAGCUAGUGCAUCAUACACAUUUCUAAGUUCUUUCUGCCCAAGCUACAAUUUUAUGGUUUCAGGAGUUAGACACAGAAUUAGUUGAUUGUAUGUGAGAAUCAAGUCUUUUCAAGUAUGUAAUGACAGAAUAGUUGAUUGGAUACUCGCAUGCCAAAAAGAAACAGAACCUAAAGAAUUUGUGCAUUUGAAAUUUUGAAGUGUGUGACUUAUUUUUAUUAUAAUAAUUUACUUUGAUCGGAUA